CAGUCGCCGCGGUAAUACAGAGGGUGCAAGCGUUAAUCGGAAUUACUGGGCGUAAAGCGCGCGUAGGUGGUUUGUUAAGUUGGAUGUGAAAUCCCCGGGCUCAACCUGGGAACUGCAUCCAAAACUGGCAGGCUAGAGUAGGGCAGAGGGUGGUGGAAUUUCCUGUGUAGCGGUGAAAUGCGUAGAUAUAGGAAGGAACACCAGUGGCGAAGGCGACCACCUGGGCUCAUACUGACACUGAGGUGCGAAAGCGUAGGGAGCAAACAGGAUUAGAUACCCCGGUAGUCCCUGUCUCUUAUAC
This 301-nucleotide ribosomal RNA is filed under the name uncultured bacterium. RNAcentral's name for it is "partial 16S ribosomal RNA". It matches the Rfam family "Bacterial small subunit ribosomal RNA", at positions 509 to 807 of the family's 1533-position model. The record is from RNAcentral.